Long non-coding RNA from Nerophis ophidion (straightnose pipefish), 512 nucleotides. RefSeq lists it as uncharacterized. The transcript is spliced from 3 exons. The record is from RefSeq and is a predicted model, not a curated record. NCBI's taxonomy places the organism in Eukaryota, Metazoa, Chordata, Actinopteri, Syngnathiformes, Syngnathidae.
AAAAUACAAAUUGUGCACACUGCCGGCAGCCAGGAGGAAGGGACGCUGAACGUCUACUUUUAGGGGCACCUGAAAUCAGACGCACCUGUGGAGCAUUAAGACUGCACAUAUUUAGAAGGAGAGAACUGGCAAGGCGUGGGAAUGUUCGACAGGCUUUGACAAGAGUGACUGGGACUACACAGCAGACUCUGCAGGCUACCGGCGCGAUCACCAAGAAGCCCACAACAUGCAAAGCAGAUAAAACUCUUCCUCCGAAGAGUUGGGACCAGGGGUAAUCAGGAUGUCCCCAAAAGGCAUGUCCUGCUGCACAAGCCUCCUCCUGGAUGUCAAAUCCUCUACAACACACACAAAUAUCAACUGUCAUCCUCCAAAGCUCAUUUGUGCAGAUUGUGGCUUAUAAACUAUAUCUGCUUUGUGACAUAACUGCUUGUCAUAUGUCUGGGACAUGACCUCACUUCCUGUUUUUAAUCUGUUAUGUAUUUGACCAAAACGUAACAAAUAAAAUUGAUGCA